Molecule: long non-coding RNA, 1282 nt
Organism: Artibeus jamaicensis (Jamaican fruit-eating bat)
Lineage: Eukaryota; Metazoa; Chordata; Mammalia; Chiroptera; Phyllostomidae
Exons: 6
Source: RefSeq, a predicted model, not a curated record
AAGGAGAAAGAAUGAAUGAGAAAAGACUAGAGUCUACUAGGGCACCCAGAGGCAAUUUGUGGAGAUGUUUUGUAAUUCUCCCCAUUUACCUCACAAACAGCCACUGUCCUUGUUCAGAACAACCUGCCUUGCUCUGAUGACCUCGCUUUUGCAAGUCAACAGCUGAGACACAUAGCAGGACACCAUACUUCGACACGCACCUGCUUUCCCCAGAUCAUUUUUGACUACGACAACUGCUUAAGCCAUCUGCUGUCAUCUACAUCGGUCAAUACAAUAGUGCUCUUCUUUACAUGUUGCUACAGAUUAUCAAGGGAAGGGUUUAGAAUGGAGACAUGAAGAUGCUGCAGGUCUGCCUGGUACAAAAAAAAGUGGAAAGAUCCAGUGAGUGUAUGGUUGUGGGGUCCUCAGAUGUGGAGGCUGACUGUAGACAUUGUUCUACGCCAUUUUAUAUAAGGGACUUGUGCACCUAUGGAGUUUGUGAUCUGCAAAGGGCCUGGAACCAAGUCCGUGCAGAUACCAAGGGACAACCAAGUUUUGGCAGAGUCAAAAGUUAUAUGUGUUUGGACAGCAGUUUAUCCAUUUACAGUUGCUAGAUGGUUCGACCGUUUCCAGUUUUGGGUGACUAUGAAUAAAGCUGCUAUGAACAUCUCAUGCAGGAUGCUGUGCAUGGAUAGGGGUUUCCUCGGCUGCCGAAUUUCCUAUCCUCUGUACCUCAACCUCAGUGUGAUAAUCAAGAUUAAAAGAAAGUAUGCAAAAUGUAAUUCUCUUGUUCGCUUCAGCAGUUUGUAUUAAACACUUUAUGCCCUGUACCCAGUGUUAAAACUUGGUUGUUAGUUCAAUGUACCCUCACUUGCCCCUUAGGGUUAAAACCCACAAUGGAAAUAGACUUGCAGAAAAAUAUCUGAAUGCGUGAUUGAACGUGAUAAUCAGCAGCAAAAUAUACUAUGGCCUACGGAAACCCACUGCUCCCAAAGGAUCCCUGCAAAUAAGAGACAAAGCAAUGUGCCUGGUAGAGCUGGAUUUUACAUAUACAUUUUACUCAGUUCUCAUUUUCAAAAUCAUGAUUUGUAAUGAACUCUCUUUAAGAGUGGUCAAUUCUCAGUAUUGAAAGCAUUUCAGCAAAGGGUCUUCAAAUGCUAUUGUUUGAAAUUCCAUGAAUUAUAAUGGGAUCUAGUCUGUUUGAAAUGGUUUACAGAAUGGAUUUUUAUCAUUAUUUUACAUUUGUUGAGAGCUAACAAAACAAUGAACACAAGCAAACAGAUUUGCAAUCUCAACUAUGCCU